Molecule: long non-coding RNA, 4109 nt
Organism: Scylla paramamosain (green mud crab)
Lineage: Eukaryota; Metazoa; Arthropoda; Malacostraca; Decapoda; Portunidae
Exons: 2
Source: RefSeq, a predicted model, not a curated record
AGAGAUUGCUAUGAACAUUUUCUUUGCCUAAUAUAACAUUAAUAUUACCACCUAGGACAUGUCAGUGUAUGUGUGUGUGUGUGUGUGUGUGUGUGUGUGUGUGUGUGUGUGUGUGUGUGCACCAGUGUGCAUUUUCAAACUAGGCCUUUAAGAGUGUAAUCUAAGUAUUUACAGUGUAACUAUAGUAACAAUUUAAUGUGGGCAUUCAUCUCAAAGUAGGAAAGUCAUUUGUUAUGAAAGCUGUAUUUGUGUCAAGUUAAGACACGGCUUUGAUUCUUGUUUAUAAUAACUCUGAUUUGUCUUGCCCCAUUUACUAGUUUUUCUUUUUUUUUUAUAUCUCUCUCCAAUGUAUGUAUGCUCAUCAAAACACUCUUAUUUGCUGCUGAAAACCACUUCUGCUGUAUGUUAUUUACAAAUGAUGGCCUUGCAAUUCCUGUGUGAGUGUUACAUGUAUAUGGGACUGGUGUUUGUGUUUUUGACUCCUGUCCGUUGGGGUCUUACCAUAUUUCAUAACAAGCAAACUACAUUACAUUGUAUUGUAUCUUAUAGGUUACACUAUGAUUAUUGUGUGCUCACAUGAUCUAAGUUAUGGGCAUCAGUUAAGUUUCACUGUUUUUUAAGAAAGAAAAUAAUGAAGAAUGCACUUUACAUAGGUAACUUGAAGAAAAAUCAUCAUCUCUUGACAUUUUUCCAAUACAGUCUGAUUUUCAUAAACUAUUUAUUAAGUGGAUGGAAUAAAUGAGAAUGGAAAAUACUUUGAGACAAUUUGUAUAAAGAGGGAGCUUUUCCUGGUGGUUGCUUUUCCAGAACAAAAUGAUUCACAGACAUGCAUGGACAUAGGGGACAAUAUGAAAAAAAAUUUGAAUACAGUAUAUAGCAGUGUAUGGAUGGAAGAGAAAGAAAAAAGUCAAGGAUGUGAAGGUUCAGGGAGGAAUGUUUGGUGAUCAGCACAAUAUGACAUGAAUGGCUUGUGGGAUGUAUAAUUGUUUCCUUCCACACACAGAAUUGGUGGUAUACAAAGCCAUGUCCAGUUAAAUGAUAUAGACAGACCAGGUGAUCCUCUAAUGCACUGACUAAUAAGUGCUUGAAUUGUGAUAUGAAAAAUGUGUUCAUUGUAGUAUGUCAUAGUCCUUCAGAUAAUAGCUUAUCUGUUUAUUGUGUUAAGAGUCUAUCAGUGAGUGCUGACUGUUACUCAACUAGUGGGUAGUUGCCUGAUUUCAUGGUGAGGCUAAUGAAACUGGAAAAACAUUUCUCUUCACUUGCUUGUCAUGCAAGCAGUUUCUGAAUUUUACAUUUAUUUUCCAAGACAUUAUUAUGCUAGACAUUACAGAUGUCUAGACAUUACAGAUAAGCAAGAUUCAGGACAAUUAUAAUUAGAGAUAACUGUAACACACCUGAGUCAUGCAGUACAAGGUUGAUUGCUGAUUAGACCGUGGGUUCUCAACCUUUUUGCAAGCUGGGCACUCCCAAGGCUGGCUGGUUCACUGCAGUUGGGUCCCCUGUCCUCCCUGUGCCACCCACUCAACCCCUCCCCAACUAUGUCACCAUAGAUAGAUAGAUAGAAUCAAAUAGGUAGAUAGAUAGAUAGAUAGAUAGCUCUUGGCUAUUAUUGUAUUGACCCACAUCAUCAUCAUCAUUAUUAUUAUUAUUAUUAUUAUUAUUAUUAUUAUUAUUAUUAUUAUUAUUAUUGUUGUUGUUGUUGUUGUUGUUGUUGUUGUUGUUGUUGUUGUUGUUGUUGUUGUUAUUUAUUUAUUUAUUUAUUCAUAUAUUUAUUUUUAUUUAUUUUCCUCCCCUCCCAUCCUGUGCUCAUGCUUCCCCAGGAGUGUGUCUGUUCCCCCACACCCCUGCCUCCCCAGUUGAGAACCACUGGAUUAGACAAUUCAGUCUCACACACAAGUAGUCUUACUUUUUUUCAUUAUGUUUAAAGAAGUGUUCCUAUUGUGCCUAUAAUGAAGUUUAUUCUUAUAAUGAAUACUCCUUCAAGUUGCAAUUAUUAUAAGCCUUUUUUUUUUUUUUUUUUCUUUUUCUUUUUUUUUUCAUUUAUGUAUUCUCAUAUAUUAUUUUAUUUUAUUUUGUAUUUAUAUAUAUUUCUUCCUCAUUAUUCUUUCAAGAGCAGUGCUUUUCUGCUUUACUGUUAAUUCUUUUCUAUGACUGCAAAGCAAGCUUCUGCUAAGUUCAAGGUUCACACACACACACACACACACACACACACACACACACACACACACACACACACACACACACACACACACACACACACACACACACACACACACACACUCAACAUACAUUUACUUCACAUCUAUUUUUACUAUUUUGAGAUAGUACUUGUUUACUAUGCUAUCAUGAUUUUUGCCAAGAUGAUAAUUCUAACUUUGCCUUCCGUAAAUAGUCUAAAGUACAUAUACGUGUACUAUAAUUUGGUUCUUCUUUAUGGUGAAGGUAUUUUCACAGUGAACUCAUUGGGAUGGACUAAGUAUUGUAAGACUGCUUUGAAGUGGAAAACAUAAGGUUUUGUAAAAUUUGUAUGAAACUUAUCAAUGUAUAUUGUUAAUAUUGGUUUCUAACUUUCAAAAAAGCUCCUUUUAAAGUUUGUAUAAAUGACAUAGAAGUCCACCCCAAGGUACAGACUAUGGCCUUCCCUGACUUUGAUAAGUUGGCUGAAAUUACCAAUGAUGUCGUCAAAGGAAAUCCCAUCCAGCAGGUUUCUAAGAUUAAAUCUGAUGGCUGCCAAAUCAUGUAGAGCAGGUGACUUCUCCUUAAGUAAGACUGGUUUGAAGUGGAAAACAUAAGGUUUUGUAAAGUUUGUAUGAAACUAAUCAAUGUAUUUUGUUAAUAUUGCUUUCUAACUUUCAAACAAGCUCCUUUUAAAGUUUGUAUAAAUGACAUAGAAAUCCACUCCAAGGUACAGACUAUGGCCUUCCCUGACUUUGAUAAGUUGGCUGAAAUUACCAGUAAUGUUGUCAAAGGAAAUCCCAACCAGCAGGUUUCUAAGAUUAAGUCUGGUGGCUGCCAAAUCAUGUAGAGCAGGUGACUUGUCUCUCCCCUGUAUUUAACAGGGAGAGACAAGUCACCUGCUCCUCAUGUUUGUCUUUAUGAAUGUAGCGCUCUCUCUCUCUCUCUCUCUCUCUCUCUCUCUCUCUCUCUCUCUCUCUCUCUCUCUCUCUCUCUCUCUCUCUCUCUCUCUCUCUCUCUCUCUCUCUCUCUCUCUCUCUCUCUCUCUCUCUCUCUCUCUCUCUCUCUCUCUCUCAGGGUUUCCCCAAAUGAAUAUCCAUGGUAGACAACCCUCCACCUCCAUAUCCAACCACUCUUUCCUGAUUUGUUUAUGCAUUUAGUAUUUAAUUUGAUUUAUAAAAUGGGCAUUAAAUUACUAAAAUUUGCAUGAAAUUACCAUAAAUAUAUGAAUUAUUAUUGUAUUCAUAAUUUAAUUGCAAAGAUAACAUUGAAAAUACUGCACAUAAAAACUGCUUGCUUAUUUAUUACCUUAAUAAUGUAUGUGUAUAUUCUUGUUAUGUUAGCAAGAUAUUUGCAGCAUCUUUGUGGAGGGAAGGGUGACAACAAGGUUCAGAGUAGUGCAUAGUAUUUCUUAAUAUCUUAAGUUUCAAAAGUUAUAGUCACCAGAGGAUGUACUACAGUAAGGGAUGAAAAUAGUGGUUAUAUGGGAUAGCUUCAAAGGAUUGAGUAGAGGAAUACUUUGCCUGUUUCACUUAAGUGACAUUGUACCAUUAGGUUGUAUUCAAUAAGGUAUCUAAUCAUGUUUUUGUGGCAGUGAAAAUUGACAAGAGUUCAUUGUCAUGAACCAUUUUAAUAGCUCAAGGAUGGAGUAGAAAGAAAGAAGAUUUAGGAACAACAGACUGUCUACUAGAGGAGUGGAAGAAAGAGAUAGAGAAGGACAGGACAGGGAAUCACUGGAAGAGGAAUGUACCAAAAUGAGAAUUUGCUUGUAAGAGGAUUAGUAGAACACAGAAAAAAGAGAAAAGUGACCAAGCAAAAUUUGGGUUGAGAACUGGUGCCAAAGUCUGCAGGGAUGCACCACAUGGGAGCACCAAUCUUGAUCUUGGACUCCUGUCCUCAACCCUGAUAUCCUUCCAUGAUGACAACAUCCCUAA